RNAcentral lists this ribosomal RNA (238 nucleotides) under uncultured bacterium. Its description in RNAcentral is "partial 16S ribosomal RNA". It matches the Rfam family "Bacterial small subunit ribosomal RNA", at positions 793 to 1055 of the family's 1533-position model. The record is from RNAcentral.
GUCCAUGCAGUAAACGAUGAGUGCUAGUCUUCAAAAAGACACAGCUAACGCGUGAAGCACUCCGCCUGAGGAGUACGAUCGCAAGAUUGAAACUCAAAGAAAUUGACGGGAGCCUAUCCAAGCGGUGGAGCAUGUGGUUUAAUUCGAUAAUACACGCAAAAUCUUACCAGCUCUUGACAUCAUCGUUUUUUGAGAGAUCAAAAAAGUAUAGCGAUAACAGGUGUUGCAUGGCUGUCGU